Molecule: long non-coding RNA, 1054 nt
Organism: Triticum dicoccoides
Lineage: Eukaryota; Viridiplantae; Streptophyta; Magnoliopsida; Poales; Poaceae
Exons: 2
Source: RefSeq, a predicted model, not a curated record
AAGUCGAGUGAACACGAGGGAAAUAAAAUUAUACGUCGGUGCAGUGUGGUCAUCUUACAGUCGGACAUAAUUAUUUCUUUUAUUACCUAUUUUUCCUUUUUUACUAAGAUUGCAUUAGUAGGUGGAUUUAGAAUAGAUAAUUAUUAGAUGUGCACCUGGGUAAUUACCACUACUAGAAACCUCCACGUGCCCUCUCCCUUUCUCAAUUUCCAAGUCUCUCUCUCUCCUCUACUAGUCCUCCAUCGAACACAACACACACCAAUACUAGUCCACCAAGAACAGAACACACGCACAUGUCUUCUCUCCCUCCUAUUCCUCUGCUCCUAACCUAGACAGAUCGGCCACGCCGCCAGCGAUGGGAACAUGCUGCUCCGCCACUGCCGGACCUCUCUCUCUCUCCCCUGAUCCAAAUCCCUAAUCUCUAAUCCCCUCUCAGAUUUGACUUGGAGGUUAGGUUCUUGUUGUGCUGUGAUUCAUCUGCUCCAGAAUGAAGCUGUCGGUGUUGGUGUCUGCGGUGCCGCUGGGUGUUGCAGAUAAGAAUUCAAAGGCAUGGCCAUGGAGCAGAUCGAGCAUAAGUGCGGAUAGAAAGAUGAAGACAGUGGGAGGAAGACAAGCUGUUGGUUUGGCUAUUUGGGGAAGAAUGGAGAUGUGUGAAGUCUUGGCAAUGGCUUGCUCUGCUGUCUCUUCUUUUAAUAUCAGAAAACCAUCUUCCUUGGCUGGUAUGGCUGCCCAUCCCCUUCUCCAUUGUUCUCACAGGUGCUAGCUUCUAAUUGGCUGAAGGUUGAAGCCCAUACAUAGACUAUACUGCUGACCCAUUGACUAGUGCACGUGAGGGUGGUGGUCAGUGUGUGUCUCAAAUGUGUCCUGCUAUUCUGGUUGACCCAGAGAUAUUUUUAGGUUGGUCUAAGUUUGUUUGGCAUUGUUGUAUAGAUUAGCAUAGUUUAGUCUCCCUCCAUUUUCUUUUUCCAAAGAUUUGUAAUACACUUGUACAGCUGUACUGUUUGAGGUGUAUGAGUAUAAAUAUAUAUUUGAGUGGUUAUUCUUGUUGAAGAAA